CGGCGCUCUCACGUCAUGGGUGCCCGGUUUGCCGGGCCUAAGAGGGAAGCCGGCCGCAACUGCCGGCGCUGCCCCCGCAACUGUGACCGGAGAGCCCGUCUCCAUCGCGCCACUGGCCGUUUUCGGCUGGGAAGGCGGGGGCGGGCGAUGAUCCGGGAGCCAGGAGACCUGCCCAGAGACGGUCGUUCCG
Molecule: non-coding RNA, 190 nt
Filed under: Novosphingobium sp.
Lineage: Bacteria; Pseudomonadati; Pseudomonadota; Alphaproteobacteria; Sphingomonadales; Sphingomonadaceae
Source: RNAcentral